RNAcentral lists this ribosomal RNA (229 nucleotides) under uncultured bacterium. RNAcentral's name for it is "partial 16S ribosomal RNA". It matches the Rfam family "Bacterial small subunit ribosomal RNA", at positions 568 to 796 of the family's 1533-position model. The record is from RNAcentral.
CGCGUAGGCGGUCUUGUCGGUCAGAUGUGAAAGCCCGGGGCUCAACCCUGGAAGUGCAUUUGAAACAGCAAGACUUGAAUACUGGAGAGGAGAGCGGAAUUCCUGGUGUAGAGGUGAAAUUCGUAGAUAUCAGGAGGAACACCGAUGGCGAAGGCAGCUCUCUGGACAGAUAUUGACGCUGAGGCGCGAAGGUGUGGGUAGCAAACAGGAUUAGAUACCCUGGUAGUCC